Molecule: non-coding RNA, 68 nt
Submitted as: unclassified sequences
Source: Rfam
CCUUUGGAGCGUUAUAGAAAACAAGAGUAGUUAGUUAAACGAUGAAAUUGGACGCAAUGAAUAAGGAA